Long non-coding RNA from Rhea pennata, 1794 nucleotides. RefSeq lists it as uncharacterized. The record is from RefSeq and is a predicted model, not a curated record. NCBI's taxonomy places the organism in Eukaryota, Metazoa, Chordata, Aves, Rheiformes, Rheidae. The transcript is spliced from 5 exons.
CGCCGCGGCCCGGGGCCUCGGCUGUGCCCCGCCAGCGCCCGCGAUCCGCCUCCAGGCCAGGCCCCGCGCCGCCGUGCCCUCCGGCCCCUGGCGGCUCCUGUCCGUAUCGCCGGGGCGCUCCGGCGAAGGCGGGCGCAACCUCGCUGCUCUCCGCGCGUCCCGACCCGGGCGGUCAGCGCGCCGCGCCGGGGAAGCGCAAGGGCGCUCGGGGCGCUCCGCUGGAGAAAACAGACCUUGUCCUGCCCACGGAAGGAAACGGGGGCGAAGGCUGCAGCACGAAAAGCGCAGGAGAUCUUGCAGGAUCGUUGUCCACAAGUGAAGGUUGCAUGUCCUAGAAAUUUCAAUGCCACCUACAGAUGGAUAUCCUAUGGGCAGUUUCCUCUUCUCCAUUUGCCCUGGAAAUGGAAAGAAUAUGAAAGGAGGAACCUUUUGAGAACCCAUCAGGCAGUAUAUUUACAAUUCUUCUCUGUCACCUAAAGUGACCUCAAAGAGUAUGUCCUUGAAAAGAACCUAAGAAAGUUUUGUUUUGAGAGAGGAAGAUGCAGAGGGAGAUGACAUCUCAUUUUGCACACCCUUUAAGAAGUCAAGAAUUUUUUCUAAUGAAAAGUGUUUUAUAAAUAACACAACAAAUAUUUCACGACACAUCGAUGAAAGUUUUGCCCCUACAUUAAUAACAAUGUUAGAGUUAUUUGUAUGACUAAUAUCAAACUGAUUCCAUUACGUCUUUGCUGUCUCUGAUAAAUGAAUUUUUAAAAUUAAUUUGUACGUAGCAGGCUUCUGCUUGGAUCAAUUCUUAGAUAAUGCUGGCCAACAUUCUUAUUAAUGCUCUAAAAAUUCAGACUCACUGAUGAUAUACAUUUGUAGGUGGCAGAAAUUUAGAGCAGUAAGUAAUGAUGAUGCCAAUCACUACGAAAGAAAGUAGCAGAGUCAUAACAAGAUUUAAUGUCUGGAAAUUGACAACAGAACAAGCCAAAUGGAAAUGCCAUCUAAAGCAAUUGCAGCACACAGGAGCAGAUGCAGCAACUUCUCCGAUGGCAAAGCACAUUUGGAGAGGACUGAGAUGCCCUUGGCUUCAACUGAAAACAUAAUCAUCUCAACAAGAGGUAAUGCCAAGAAAAGAUCGAUACAGUGAUGAAUGGCUGCUGGCUCAAAACCAAGGUGGUAUUUGAUAACUACUUGGAACACUUUACAAAGCAUUUUCCAUGGUGUGGGAUCUGAUUUGUCUUUCUGCAUAGGGAACUGAGUUGACUUAUCAGUAAAAAAUGUGUUUGUCAGCCUCGGCUAACGAGAAGCAUUGCACCUUCUGUCCUGGUUAGGCUUCAGCCUUUCAAUGAUUUCAGUAGUGUACUCUUGAAAGAAGUACUUCAGAUACCAACACUGAAAUUCACUGGGGAAGUGAGGAAAAACUUCAGCCUUUUUUUUACUGUUAACACCAGACAAGUCUAGCAGUUAGACCUGUGUCAUAAGAUUGUACAUGCCUGGAAGCUCUGUCCUGCACAGAAUGCAAGGGCUUGAUUGCAAAAGUAUACUGUGUCUGCGCUCUAAUCAUUCCAUUCAUCCCAGUUAGCUUCCAUGGCAAAUUUCAGUGCCAGUGCUAUCAACCAUGUUCGCCUCCAGAUCAGGGUUCUUUAGAGCUGAAGUGCUCUCAGUCGAAUAGAAUUGUCUAAGGAACAAGCCUAAGAAGAGAUUAGACUUGUCUGAAUUGCUAAAAGAAUGUUGCUCUGGAUAAUAUCUUAACUAGCCUACAGUGAUCGAGGAUUAUGCAACUAAUGAGUAAAAUGAAUUUAAACAAGA